This 679-nucleotide ribosomal RNA is filed under the name Enterobacter sp. 5ANGIII. RNAcentral's name for it is "bacterial SSU rRNA". It matches the Rfam family "Bacterial small subunit ribosomal RNA", at positions 76 to 748 of the family's 1533-position model. Lineage: Bacteria; Pseudomonadati; Pseudomonadota; Gammaproteobacteria; Enterobacterales; Enterobacteriaceae. The record is from RNAcentral.
GAGCUUGCUCUCUGGGUGACGAGCGGCGGACGGGUGAGUAAUGUCUGGGAAACUGCCCGAUGGAGGGGGAUAACUACUGGAAACGGUAGCUAAUACCGCAUAACGUCUUCGGACCAAAGAGGGGGACCUUCGGGCCUCUUGCCAUCGGAUGUGCCCAGAUGGGAUUAGCUAGUAGGUGGGGUAAUGGCUCACCUAGGCGACGAUCCCUAGCUGGUCUGAGAGGAUGACCAGCCACACUGGAACUGAGACACGGUCCAGACUCCUACGGGAGGCAGCAGUGGGGAAUAUUGCACAAUGGGCGCAAGCCUGAUGCAGCCAUGCCGCGUGUAUGAAGAAGGCCUUCGGGUUGUAAAGUACUUUCAGCGAGGAGGAAGGCAUUGUGGUUAAUAACCGCAGUGAUUGACGUUACUCGCAGAAGAAGCACCGGCUAACUCCGUGCCAGCAGCCGCGGUAAUACGGAGGGUGCAAGCGUUAAUCGGAAUUACUGGGCGUAAAGCGCACGCAGGCGGUCUGUCAAGUCGGAUGUGAAAUCCCCGGGCUCAACCUGGGAACUGCAUUCGAAACUGGCAGGCUAGAGUCUUGUAGAGGGGGGUAGAAUUCCAGGUGUAGCGGUGAAAUGCGUAGAGAUCUGGAGGAAUACCGGUGGCGAAGGCGGCCCCCUGGACAAAGACUGACGCUC